This 31-nucleotide small RNA is filed under the name Bombyx mori (domestic silkworm). RNAcentral's name for it is "ovarian small RNA-4434". Lineage: Eukaryota; Metazoa; Arthropoda; Insecta; Lepidoptera; Bombycidae. The record is from RNAcentral.
ACGCAGCAACAGCGGCCGCCUCCAUCAGCAA